CCCUUAGAUGUUCUGGGCUGCACGCGCGCGACAAUGACGUUUGCAACGAGAUUGCGAGGCCGUCAGGUCGAGCUGAUCUUGCAAGCUGCGUCGUGAUAGGGACAGUCGAUUGCAAUUAUUCGACUCGAACGAGGAAUUCCUUGUAAUCGCGCAUCAUCAGUGCGCGCUGAAUACGUCCCUGCCCUUUGUACACACCGCCCGUCGCUACUACCGAUUGAAUGGCUUAGUGAGGCCUCAGGAUCCGCGCUUAAUGUGUGGAGAAUUUGGACAAACUACGUCAUUUAGAGGAAGUAAAAGUCGUAACA
Molecule: ribosomal RNA, 305 nt
Filed under: uncultured eukaryote
Lineage: Eukaryota
Description: partial 18S ribosomal RNA
Rfam family: Eukaryotic small subunit ribosomal RNA
Source: RNAcentral